Molecule: small RNA, 541 nt
Filed under: Vigna angularis var. angularis
Lineage: Eukaryota; Viridiplantae; Streptophyta; Magnoliopsida; Fabales; Fabaceae
Description: Non-protein coding transcript
Source: RNAcentral
CUUAUUCUCCUCAGAAAAACCAGAGCCUCUGUCAUGCUAACCUGGCGCAGCCUCUAUCAAAUGGCUCAAAUAUAAAGUCUGAGUUUAGAAAUUUCUCUGCUUUGCAUGGCUCCGAAGUGACAGGUGAGGAGUGCCAAAUGGGUGUGGAUUACUCCUGCAAUCAGCACUUUCUUUCUCAAACUUUUCAUGCUUCUUCUGAUAGUGCAUCGAAGGUAAUACAAAGGAGCUUCAGCUGUAACUCUUUCGGGGUGAAGCCAGGUUUCCCCGUUGAACCUCACCACGACACUCUCAUGGAUUCCACAAAUUUUCAAUUGCAUGCUCUGAUUUCCCCCGAAAACAGUUUCUUCACGGGACAAAUGAGGAGGGUGUACAGUACUGGAGAUUUACAGAACACGAAAGCAACAGAUAUGUCUCAAGUGGAGAGCCCCUUGUUGGAGGAAGCAUACUUCAAAGUGGGGCGUUACAGUGCCGAAGAAAGAAAAGAAAAAAUCUCUAAAUACAGAGCGAAGAGAAGCCAGAGGAAGUUCAACAAGAUUAUCAA